This 1017-nucleotide ribosomal RNA is filed under the name Triticum aestivum (bread wheat). Its description in RNAcentral is "partial small subunit ribosomal RNA". Lineage: Eukaryota; Viridiplantae; Streptophyta; Magnoliopsida; Poales; Poaceae. The record is from RNAcentral.
AUGGAGGUGUUAAGCAUGUUUUCUUUUAUUGCUCAAGCCACGAUACUCUUCCUUUUGUUUCUUAAACUCACAGCCUACGGCAACAAAAGCAAAUUACGCAAGAAGCAGCUGCCUCCCGGGCCAUGGAGCCUUCCGUUCAUCGGCAGCCUCCACCACGUCUUGCGUGGCCUCCCACACCGCACAAUGAGGGAGUUGUCUCGCCGUCAUGGACCCCUGAUGUUCCUCAGGCUUGGCGAGGUUCCAACCUUGGUCGUCUCCAGCGCCGAGGCGGCGGAGCUGGUGAUGAGGACCCACGACCUGUCGUUCGCCUCCCGGCCGAGCAGCGUGACCAUCGACAUCAUCGGCUGCUGCGGGAAGGGGAUCGGCUUCGCACCCUACGGGGACCGCUGGCGCCAGAUGAAGAAGAUCUGCAUCAUGGAGCUUCUCAACGCCAAGCAAGUGAAGCGUGUCGAGUCCAUAAGGGCCGAGGAGGUGGGCGGCCUCUUCCGCUCCUUUGCGGCGGCCUCUGGUUUCGUCAACCUCAGCAAGAAGGCGUCGGCGCUAGCGAACGACAUCGUCGCCAUGGCCAUGUUCGGCGGCAAGUGCGCAGAGGAGAAGUCCGAGUUCGUGCUCGCCUACGACCAAGUAAGCGAGCUGGUGGCUGGGUUCUUCCCGCUGGACUUCUUCCUGUCGUCGCGGAUCGUACGGCGGCUGAGCACCAUCGAGCACCGCCUCCGUGGGAGUUAUGGCUGCAUCCAGCGCAUCAUUGCGAGUAUCGUCGAGAGCCGCAAUGCGGAGAUCGCCGCCAACGGGGAUCAGGAGGAUUUCCUGGGAGUGCUGCUCAGGCUGCAGAAGAAGGAUUCACUUGCUUUCCCUCUAACCCCGGAGACUAUUGGUGCGAUCAUGUUUGACAUAUUUGGAGGCGCUACUACAACCUUAGGAUCCACUGUAGAGUGGGCUAUGUCGGAGUUGUUGAAAAAACCCGAGACUAUGGCAAAGUCACAACUAGAGGUUCAAAGCGUUCUAGGUGCACUAUGA